UGGACUCAUGAUUGGUAGCAAAUCUUUUAUUUUUUUGGGGCGUCUUACUUUGCCUUGCAACUGUUCGAGGGGCGGCGCCAGCAGAGAAACGGGGCGGCUGUGCGAAGGGCGCUUGACGGUGAUGGCGGCGGAGAAGAUGGAGGAGGAAGAAGGAGGAGGAUGAGAAAACGGAGGAGAAGGAAGAGGAAGAAGAAGAAAAUAAAAAAUGUUAUAAAUUUCACCCAAACAGUAUAAUUUUCGCCUAAAGAGUGUAAAUUACAUCCCAAAGAGUAUAAUUUUUACCUCAAAGAGUGUAACUUUCAUCUAAAAUAGUGCAAAAUUUUUUUAAAAUAGUAUAAUUUUAUUUUAACAAUGUAAUUUCAUCUUCUUCUUUCUUUUUCUAUAAUUUUUAAUCUUUCCUGUAGGAAAAAAUAUAUUUUUUUAUUUUUAUUUUUUAUUAUUCUUAUUUUCUUUCUUUCUAUAAUUUUUUUUGGUCACGACCACUCCC
Molecule: long non-coding RNA, 487 nt
Filed under: Ananas comosus (pineapple)
Lineage: Eukaryota; Viridiplantae; Streptophyta; Magnoliopsida; Poales; Bromeliaceae
Description: long non-coding RNA (ACOM_LNC007368)
Source: RNAcentral